RNAcentral lists this small nuclear RNA (300 nucleotides) under Ailuropoda melanoleuca (giant panda). Its description in RNAcentral is "7SK RNA". It matches the Rfam family "7SK RNA". Rfam says of the family: 7SK was discovered as an abundant small nuclear RNA in the mid-70s but a possible function has only recently been suggested. Two independent studies have found that 7SK RNA binds the CDK9/cyclin T complex (known as elongation factor P-TEFb). P-TEFb activates transcription by phosphorylating the C-terminal domain of RNA polymerase II. Lineage: Eukaryota; Metazoa; Chordata; Mammalia; Carnivora; Ursidae. The record is from Rfam by way of RNAcentral.
GGAGGAGUUCAGACUGGGACAUCUGUUAUCCCAUUGAUCAUCAGGAUUAAUUUGACUGCCAUGGUGGUCUACGGAGGUUUCCUCUUCCUGUAUCACUCCUCUAAUAGACAUCCUCCCUUGGCCAAAUAAAAUGACCUAUCCAAAAGUAGAGGAUCUUCUUUGGUGAAUAGCAUAAGAAUGGUGGACCUCCUUUGCUGGAAUCUCCAAGCUGCCUCCAAUAUGUACUGCAGUAUUAUGUUUCUUUUCAUUACACUAUUCCCUUUUGCAGACCAAAACCCAGAGAUAAUAGAGUGUGUAUUU